UACAGAGGGGGCAAGCGUUGUUCGGAAUUACUGGGCGUAAAGGGCUUGUAGGCGGCCAACUAAGUCAGACGUGAAAUCCCUCGGCUUAACCGGGGAACUGCGUCUGAUACUGGAUGGCUAGAGAUUGGGAGAGGGAUGCGGAAUUCCAGGUGUAGCGGUGAAAUGCGUAGAUAUCUGGAGGAACACCGGUGGCGAAGGCGGCAUCCUGGACCAACACUGACGCUGAGGAGCGAAAGCCAGGGGAGCAAACGGG
This 253-nucleotide ribosomal RNA is filed under the name uncultured bacterium. RNAcentral describes it as "partial 16S ribosomal RNA". It matches the Rfam family "Bacterial small subunit ribosomal RNA", at positions 524 to 776 of the family's 1533-position model. The record is from RNAcentral.